Molecule: ribosomal RNA, 691 nt
Filed under: uncultured bacterium
Lineage: Bacteria
Description: bacterial SSU rRNA
Rfam family: Bacterial small subunit ribosomal RNA
Source: RNAcentral
AGAGUUUGAUCCUGGCUCAGAUUGAACGCUGGCGGCAUGCCUUACACAUGCAAGUCGAACGGCAGCGCGGGAGCAAUCCUGGCGGCGAGUGGCGAACGGGUGAGUAAUACAUCGGAACGUGCCCAAUCGUGGGGGAUAACGCAGCGAAAGCUGUGCUAAUACCGCAUACGAUCUACGGAUGAAAGCAGGGGACCGCAAGGCCUUGCGCGAAUGGAGCGGCCGAUGGCAGAUUAGGUAGUUGGUGAGGUAAAGGCUCACCAAGCCUUCGAUCUGUAGCUGGUCUGAGAGGACGACCAGCCACACUGGGACUGAGACACGGCCCAGACUCCUACGGGAGGCAGCAGUGGGGAAUUUUGGACAAUGGGCGCAAGCCUGAUCCAGCCAUGCCGCGUGCAGGAUGAAGGCCUUCGGGUUGUAAACUGCUUUUGUACGGAACGAAACGGCUCUUUCUAAUAAAGAGGGCUAAUGACGGUACCGUAAGAAUAAGCACCGGCUAACUACGUGCCAGCAGCCGCGGUAAUACGUAGGGUGCAAGCGUUAAUCGGAAUUACUGGGCGUAAAGCGUGCGCAGGCGGUGAUGUAAGACAGUUGUGAAAUCCCCGGGCUCAACCUGGGAACUGCAUCUGUGACUGCAUCGCUGGAGUGCGGCAGAGGGGGAUGGAAUUCCGCGUGUANCAGUGAAAUGCGUAGA